AAACCAACCAAACCAAUACACCACAACCCUCUUUCUCUCCCUUUCUUUCUGCUGCUGUAAUCUACUUACAUUACAGAAGCCCCAAAAGUACUACUUCAUCUGCAAUAAUGUCUUGCUCCAACCUCACUAUGUUGGUAUCUUCAAAACCUUCCCUUUCUGAUGCCUCCAACCUCUCCUUCCGUUCUGUUCUUAAUCCUUUUCAGCUCCCUUCACAAAACUCACCCUCAUGCAGCCCCUCACGGUCUUCUGUCACCCCAAUACAGUGUGGUCUCAGAGAGCUCAGAACCCGCAUU
This 293-nucleotide long non-coding RNA is filed under the name Arachis ipaensis. RNAcentral's name for it is "long non-coding RNA (AIPA_LNC000838)". The record is from RNAcentral. Lineage: Eukaryota; Viridiplantae; Streptophyta; Magnoliopsida; Fabales; Fabaceae.